GUUGUUCAACGAACCUCGUUCUGUACGGUUACACAAGUGAUCGGAGGACUUGGUAAUGGUCAGGUCUGAGGUCGGCAAAGAAAAUUAUUCCCGGAACUGCACGAACAUUCAAAAUCAAUCAAGCACAUAAUCAGGCCAUGAGGGAAUGCCAGUGAAAAUCCCAGUUAGAACAGUUUCAGGCAGUUGUCUGGAAAGUUGCACAUGUGCACGUCCCUGGGCAAUGUAGCCAUGCAGGGUAUGCAGACACAGAAGGC
RNAcentral lists this long non-coding RNA (254 nucleotides) under Setaria italica (foxtail millet). Its description in RNAcentral is "long non-coding RNA (SITA_LNC007349)". The record is from RNAcentral. Lineage: Eukaryota; Viridiplantae; Streptophyta; Magnoliopsida; Poales; Poaceae.